Molecule: non-coding RNA, 1031 nt
Filed under: Phaethon aethereus
Lineage: Eukaryota; Metazoa; Chordata; Aves; Phaethontiformes; Phaethontidae
Description: partial 12S ribosomal RNA
Rfam family: Bacterial small subunit ribosomal RNA
Source: RNAcentral
AAAGACUUAGUCCUAACCUUACCGUUAGUUUCUACCAGACAUAUACAUGCAAGUAUCCGCACCCCAGUGUAAAUGCCCCUACUUCUUACCAAGAUAAAAGGAGCAGGUAUCAGGCACACCCGUACCCCGAGUAGCCCAAGACACCUUGCUUAGCCACACCCGCACGGGUACUCAGCAGUAAUUAACAUUAAGCAAUAAGCGAAAGCUUGACUUAGUCAUGGUACCACCCAGGGUUGGUAAAUCUUGUGCCAGCCACCGUGGUCACACAAGAAACCCAAAUUAACAGACUCCGGCGUAAAGAGUGGAGCCGCACUAUCAAAGCAACCGAGACUAAAAAACAACUAAGCUGUCAUAAACUCAAGAUGUCCUUAAACCCAACCUCAAAACGAUCUUGGCACUCCCACCUGAUCAACCAAACCUCACGAAAGCUAGGAUACAAACUGGGAUUAGAUACCCCACUAUGCCUAGCCAUAAAUCUCGAUGCUUCCCCCACCAAAGCAUCCGCCCGAGAACUACGAGCACAAACGCUUAAAACUCUAAGGACUCGGCGGUGCCCCAAACCCACCUAGAGGAGCCUGUUCUAUAAUCGAUAAUCCACGAUACAGCUCACCAUCUCUUGCCAAACAGCAGCCUACAUACCGCCGUCGUCAGUUCACCUCAUCAGAGUCCAACAGUGAACACAACAGCCCAACCCCGCUAAUAAGGCAGGUCAAGGUAUAGCCCACGAGAUGGCAGAAAUGGGCUACAUUCUCUAAAAUAGAGUACCCACGAAAGGGGGCGUGAAAUCACCCCCAGAAGGCGGAUUUAGCAGUAAAGCGGAACAAUCGAGUCCCCUUUAAACUGGCCCUGGAGCACGUACAUACCACCCGUCACCUUCCUCACAAGCCCCAAACUCACAUAACUAAUACCCUCCCCCAGCUAAAGAUGAGGUAAGUCGUAACAAGGACUUGAUGAUCUUAAAGGUCCUUUCCAACCUAGUGAUUCUGUGAUUCCUGAGAAGGUAAGUGUACUGGAAAGUGCACUUAGCAUAU